This 72-nucleotide transfer RNA is filed under the name Ovis aries (sheep). It matches the Rfam family "tRNA". Rfam says of the family: Transfer RNA (tRNA) molecules are approximately 80 nucleotides in length. Their secondary structure includes four short double-helical elements and three loops (D, anti-codon, and T loops). The record is from Rfam by way of RNAcentral. Lineage: Eukaryota; Metazoa; Chordata; Mammalia; Artiodactyla; Bovidae.
UCCCUGGUGGCUCAGAGGUCAAAGCGUCCACCUUCAAUGUGGGAGACCUGGGUUUGAUCCCUGGGUUGAGAA